UACGGAGGGUGCAAGCGUUAUCCGGAUUCACUGGGUUUAAAGGGUGCGUAGGCGGGCAGGUAAGUCAGUGGUGAAAUCUCCGGGCUUAACCCGGAACUGCCGUUGAUACUAUCUGUCUUGAAUAUAGUGGAGGUGAGCGGAAUAUGUCAUGUAGCGGUGAAAUGCUUAGAUAUGACAUAGAACACCCAUUGCGAAGGCAGCUCGCUACACUAUCAUUGACGCUGAGGCACGAAAGCGUGGGGAUCAAACAGG
RNAcentral lists this ribosomal RNA (252 nucleotides) under uncultured bacterium. Its description in RNAcentral is "partial 16S ribosomal RNA". It matches the Rfam family "Bacterial small subunit ribosomal RNA", at positions 524 to 776 of the family's 1533-position model. The record is from RNAcentral.